CAAGUUUCCAUGCAUUUGUUUUCUGGUUAUGGGGUUGCAGCUUAACUAGGAGCAUGCACUGUACUUUUGAAUGUUUUGUCAAGUAUAUUUUGGUUCAUACACCUGAUGAGUGUCAAAUAUUUGAGACACCUUGAAAAGAAGAUGGAGUUUUAAAUUACUGUUCCCCCUAAAUUGCAUACUGAUACAUGUACAUAAUUAUGACAUCACUUCCUUUAAAAAUUGUAAAGCUAAGAGAAUGUUAGUGAUGUUUUAUUGUAGUAAAUUGUUAUUUUUAAAUGAGCUAAAACUGUGACUUACCACAGCUAGUACUUGGUUCCUUAAUGCUUCAGAAUUUCUCCAUAAGGACCUAGUUUCAAUGGCACAAAGUCUAGUGUUUGGGGAAUAUUAGAAAAAUCACUUUUGCAGCCUGAGCCAUCAGAGGAAGGGAGGAGUUUGCAGGUCAAGUAAACUUUUUGGUCUGUGAAAUUACUU
Molecule: long non-coding RNA, 471 nt
Filed under: Bos taurus (domestic cattle)
Lineage: Eukaryota; Metazoa; Chordata; Mammalia; Artiodactyla; Bovidae
Description: long non-coding RNA NONBTAT012805
Source: RNAcentral